CUGCAUUACUGUAAGUUAAUGCAAGCAAGGAUCAGCAGGCUUCACGACCAAGGAGACAUUUUGAGAUGUUUCUUUGCAGCAGGUGAGGAACGGCAGACCUAACAACCAAGGGGACAUUAAGAUGUUUCUUUGCAGGGCGACCAGGUAACGAAGCUCAGGGUCCAUGGCUACGCUGUUGAUGGAGGGCCCCUCCACGUGGCCGAGGCCGUUCCUCGUCGGGUUGGGCCACGCCAACACCUGCCGAAACACAGGGGACAUCGUGAGCAAAGCUAAGUUCACCACUGGAGGAGUUUCAGUAUGAUAACAGUAUCUUGAAGAGUGUAAUGGAAACAUAAGCAGUAGCCUGCUAAAUAUCUGAACCGUAAAGCAACGAGACAGUUUGAAGCGAAGGAUACCUCAGUGGGCGGAAUGGGUUUCCCACUCUGAAAACUGUUCUUCUGGAGGUUGGUGACGUGAGGACAUUCUUUAAAAAAAUGAAGACAAGGGGACACUUAAAUGACGUGAACCCACCUGGACAGGUGUUGAGAGCCAGGUAGGGGAUGUCGGUGCUGGCCCACUGCAGCUCAGCCAGAACCACGGCGCUCACCGUCAGGUUCUUC
Mugil cephalus (flathead mullet) is the source of this 599-nucleotide long non-coding RNA. RefSeq lists it as uncharacterized. Lineage: Eukaryota; Metazoa; Chordata; Actinopteri; Mugiliformes; Mugilidae. The transcript is spliced from 5 exons. The record is from RefSeq and is a predicted model, not a curated record.